UGGGGUUGCCAGUAUGUCAGAUCACCUCUAGGGUCUCCUUUAGCACCACCACAGAACGCGGCUCUUGGAGAUGCUCACCCAGCAACGGAUGGAGAAGAUGGAUCACAGACCAAACACGGCCAGACGUAAGAUGAAGCUGAAAGAGCUUUUCCGGAAGACUCUACCAAGGCGGCUGCCAAAUGUGGCAUCUCAGCCUGGCAUGAAAGAAGGAAAGGGAGCGUGGCAGAGGAACCAAAGAGGAAACACAGGGCCUGCAGGAUCCCAUGAAACUGCCUUCCCUGGAAUGUCAACUCCCUGACUGAAGGGCCUUUGGUCACUGGAGUAUCCCAGAAAUCAGAAGAGUGCUUGGCAUACAGUAGAUGCUCAAUAAUGUGAAUGAAAGUCAUCUGAAAGACCUGGUCCUUCUCGCCUCUCUUUCCAAUUUCACUUUGAACCUGACCCCUCCAUCCUCCUGUGUUCUGCUACAUCUGUUUCUAUUCCCCAAACACGCCAAGCUCAAGCUGGGCUUGGGGUGCUCACAUGUCACUGUUCUUUUGGCUGAGAAUGCUCUUGCCUCCAAUCCUGGUGUGGCUAGCUGCUUUCAUUACGCAUAUUUCAGGUCAAAUGUCAUCACUUCAGUGAGGCCUUCCCUGAAAUAGAUAGGUCCUCCCAUCUGAUUUCGUUGUCUUCAUUGCAUGUAUUAUUUUAUUUACAUGUUUAUUGGUCUGUUAGCUGUCUCUUCCCACUAUAAUAUAAGCUCCAUGAGGACACAGACCUUGUCUGUGUUCUCAAGCCUUGAAGAGUACCAGAACAUAAAAGGUACUCAGUAUGUAUUUCUUAGGUUAAUGAAUAAGUAAAUAAACAGUAGGUAUUAUUAUUGUUUUUUCAAGAUAUAGAUUGAGAAAAACCAUAAAUUUCACCCCUUUCUCCUCCCCUCUUCUGUG
Molecule: long non-coding RNA, 923 nt
Organism: Mustela lutreola (European mink)
Lineage: Eukaryota; Metazoa; Chordata; Mammalia; Carnivora; Mustelidae
Exons: 3
Source: RefSeq, a predicted model, not a curated record